RNAcentral lists this transfer RNA (86 nucleotides) under Promethearchaeota archaeon. Its description in RNAcentral is "Candidatus Lokiarchaeota archaeon (marine sediment metagenome) tRNA-Leu". It matches the Rfam family "tRNA". From Rfam's summary of the family: Transfer RNA (tRNA) molecules are approximately 80 nucleotides in length. Their secondary structure includes four short double-helical elements and three loops (D, anti-codon, and T loops). Lineage: Archaea; Promethearchaeati; Promethearchaeota. The record is from RNAcentral. RNAcentral also lists the same sequence under 1 other name.
GCAGGGGUUUCCGAGUGGUCAAAGGAGCAGGACUGAGGCUCCUGUGGCAUAGGCCUGCGUGGGUUCAAAUCCCAUCCCCUGCACCA